AGCCCCGUAGUGUAGCGGUCAAUCAUGCGGGACUCUGGAUCCUGCGACACCAGUUCGAAUCUGGUCGGGGCUACCA
This 76-nucleotide transfer RNA is filed under the name Methanomassiliicoccales archaeon. RNAcentral's name for it is "tRNA-Gln". It matches the Rfam family "tRNA". From Rfam's summary of the family: Transfer RNA (tRNA) molecules are approximately 80 nucleotides in length. Their secondary structure includes four short double-helical elements and three loops (D, anti-codon, and T loops). Lineage: Archaea; Methanobacteriati; Thermoplasmatota; Thermoplasmata; Methanomassiliicoccales. The record is from RNAcentral.